RNAcentral lists this ribosomal RNA (253 nucleotides) under uncultured Eubacteriales bacterium. RNAcentral describes it as "uncultured Clostridiales bacterium partial 16S ribosomal RNA". It matches the Rfam family "Bacterial small subunit ribosomal RNA", at positions 524 to 776 of the family's 1533-position model. The record is from RNAcentral. Lineage: Bacteria; Bacillati; Bacillota; Clostridia; Eubacteriales.
UACGGAGGAUUCAAGCGUUAUCCGGAUUUAUUGGGUUUAAAGGGUGCGUAGACGGUACGCCAAGUCUGAAGUGAAAUGCCGCAGCUUAACUGCGGAACUGCUUUGGAAACUGGCGGGCUAGAGUGCGGGAGGGGUAAGCGGAAUUCCUAGUGUAGCGGUGAAAUGCGUAGAUAUUAGGAGGAACACCAGUGGCGAAGGCGGCUUACUGGACUGUAACUGACGUUGAGGCUCGAAAGCGUGGGGAGCAAACAGG